GAUGAACGCUGGCGGCGUGCCUAACACAUGCAAGUCGAACGAAUUGCUUUAAAGGAAGUUUUCGGAUGGAAUUUAAAGUAGUUAGUGGCGGACGGGUGAGUAACGCGUGGGAAACCUGCCCUAUACAGGGGGAUAGCCUCGGGAAACUGGGAUUAAUACCCCAUAAAACUCUAGUAUCGCAUGAUACAUGAGCCAAAGAUUUAUCGGUAUAGGAUGGUCCCGCGUCUGAUUAGCUAGUCGGUGAGGUAACGGCUCACCAAGGCGACGAUCAGUAGCCGGCCUGAGAGGGUGAACGGCCACACUGGAACUGAGACACGGUCCAGACUCCUACGGGAGGCAGCAGUGGGGAAUAUUGCACAAUGGGGGAAACCCUGAUGCAGCGACGCCGCGUGAGCGAAGAAGGCCUUCGGGUCGUAAAGCUCUGUCCUAAGGGAAGAAACGGACGGUACCUUAGGAGGAAGCCCCGGCUAACUACGUG
This 478-nucleotide ribosomal RNA is filed under the name uncultured bacterium. RNAcentral's name for it is "bacterial SSU rRNA". It matches the Rfam family "Bacterial small subunit ribosomal RNA", at positions 28 to 507 of the family's 1533-position model. The record is from RNAcentral.